CAGGGAGACAACAAAAUGUUUAAUAUUAUUAUUUUGUCACCUUAGGUCGAUCGGUAUCUCACGUUUUUAAUUUAUUAAGAACUUCAUUUCCUAAGUUUUUCUAGGUCACACCCAUUAUUUUUCCUGGGCCAUUAGCUCAGGUGGUUAGAGCGCACCCCUGAUAAGGGUGAGGUCCCUGGUUCAAGUCCAGGAUGGCCCAUAUCUCUAUGUUGGGGGUAUAGCUCAGUUGGUAGAGCGCCUGCUUUGCAAGCAGGAUGUCAGCGGUUCGAGUCCGCUUACCUCCACUGAUUACCACCUCUUCCAUAACCGGUAGUAAGGAAAUGUUUUGAGUUGUGAUCAAAUUCUGAAAGAAUCUAGCUUCCUAAUGAAACCAUUAAGAUGCUGGACUCAUUGAAUUAAUUUCAUUGUUUUCAGAGAACCUUGACAACUGCAUAGAUUAUUUUUAAAGACAAUGAGCAUCUUUAAUGAUGCAGAUUUAUUAUUUGUGCGAAUGCAUUAAUAACAAUUCUAUUAAGCUGAUGCUUCAAUUUUUGAAGUUAUU
Molecule: transfer RNA, 541 nt
Filed under: uncultured cyanobacterium
Lineage: Bacteria; Bacillati; Cyanobacteriota
Description: partial 16S-23S ribosomal RNA intergenic spacer
Rfam family: tRNA (bases 212-284)
Source: RNAcentral